Molecule: unclassified non-coding RNA, 217 nt
Filed under: uncultured Archaeorhizomyces
Lineage: Eukaryota; Fungi; Ascomycota; Archaeorhizomycetes; Archaeorhizomycetales; Archaeorhizomycetaceae
Description: sequence contains ITS2
Source: RNAcentral
AACGCACAUUGCGCCUCCCUUUAUGGGGAGGCAUGCCUGUCUGAGCGUCAUUUAAAUCGAUAGGACCGACUGGGUUCUGUGUUGGGCCUCGCCUGUGAGGGCGUCGCCUCGAAUGAAUCGGUCGAAUGAGCGGAUGAGAUCCAAUAGGACUGACCGUUCAGAGACCUUAAAUCUCUGAUUUGACCUCAGAUCAGGUAGGGACACCGCCUGAACUUAA